Molecule: long non-coding RNA, 469 nt
Filed under: Homo sapiens (human)
Lineage: Eukaryota; Metazoa; Chordata; Mammalia; Primates; Hominidae
Description: HSALNT0012625
Source: RNAcentral
UGGAGUGCAGUGGCGCGAUCUCGGCUCACCGCAAGCUCCGCCUCCCGGGUUCACGCCAUUCUCCUGCCUCAGCCUCUGGAGUAGCUGGGACUACAGGCGCCCGCCACCACACCCGGCUGAUUUUUUGCGUUUUUAGUAGAGACAGGGUUUCACCGUGUUAGCCAGGAUGGUCUCGAUCUCCUGACCUCGUGAUCCACCCGCCUCGGCCUCCCAAAGUGCUGGGAUUACAGGCGUGAGCCACCACGAGAGGCAGGAGUUUUUCUAAUAGAAAAUUGUACAUAAGAUGUUGCAAGCAUGAAAAAAAUAAAAAGAUGUUGGUCUCUGUUCUAGAGAGCAGGGAGUUGAAGGGGAAUUGUAGAGAGAGGAAUGCAAUCUCAAGAAUAUCAGUCUAGGCUUGGAAAAAAAUUGGUUCUCUUAUUAGCAGCAUAGUAUGACCUCGGGCAGCUUCUUUGGGUCUGUUUCCUCAUCU